Molecule: ribosomal RNA, 254 nt
Filed under: uncultured bacterium
Lineage: Bacteria
Description: partial 16S ribosomal RNA
Rfam family: Bacterial small subunit ribosomal RNA
Source: RNAcentral
UACGUAGGUGGCAAGCGUUGUCCGGAUUUACUGGGCGUAAAGAGCGCGCAGGCGGUCGGUCAAGUCGCGGGUGAAAGCCCCCGGCUCAACUGGGGAGGGUCACGCGAUACUGAUCGACUCGAAGGCAGGAGAGGGUAGUGGAAUUCCCGGUGUAGUGGUGAAAUGCGUAGAUAUCGGGAGGAACACCAGUGGCGAAGGCGACUACCUGGCCUGUUUCUUGACGCUGAGGCGCGAAAGCUAGGGGAGCAAACGGG